Molecule: signal recognition particle RNA, 212 nt
Filed under: Solanum lycopersicum (tomato)
Lineage: Eukaryota; Viridiplantae; Streptophyta; Magnoliopsida; Solanales; Solanaceae
Description: Plant signal recognition particle RNA
Rfam family: Plant signal recognition particle RNA
Source: Rfam by way of RNAcentral
UAGUUCUGGCCUGCCCUGUCCAAGCACAGAGUAGGAUCACGAGGCCCAAAUGAAAAUAUGGGCUUCUUGAUUCCUAAAGCGGGGCGGACCGCAUGAGGCUGGCUUCACAGAGCAGUGAACAGCUCCCGCUCUGUGCAGUGGAAGGAUAAUGGGUCGGUGUCUUAUCAAGUUCAGUAACGCCUAAUGGGUUGCUCCAAUAAACAACCACCUUU